ACUCAAAAUUGGUAUGAAAAAUUUGCCUUGCCAAAUGAACAUUGUAUACUGAACUUGUCAAAUCCUCUCUCCUGACACAAAUAAAAGAUAACAUUGGGUGGCAGCAUGUAAAACAGCACUGACAAGACAGCUAGGAUGGAAGCAAAGAAAUGCAUAUUUUUCUCUUUCUCUCUUCCAGAGCAGGGAAUGGGAACGAUCCAGGUGAGCGAAUGCUGGCGUGUUACAACCAAAAAUACAUCAUCUAAAGACUUAACAAGCCAUUUCAAGGCAGGUUCUAAGCAGAACAUAAGCGAUUCCAUUUCUGAUUAGCAAAAUCAUGACAAAAGUCUCAACUUUUUUCCAGGCAACCAAGAAAGCUCCUCAGUAGGAAGAGUGGCUGGAUGAAAGGGGGAUUCAGUUAAAAGUUCCCAACUCUGCUGUGCAGGCUGGAAGGUCUACUCCUAGCACUGCUGAAAAUUAUUCUAAAUAUAUUUAAAAAUAAAGAAGCCUGGACUGAGACCUGGUGCCAGCCUUUCCCCUGCUCUCACCAUCCUCCUCUUCCUCCUCACAACUGCCAGUUCUGAAACAACUUUUUCUGCUGUUGGGGCUCUGAGGGUGGCUCAGGUGCCUCUCAGCAAUGAGGGCAUUUCCUGGAGAGCAGUUCCCUGCUUUCUGCAUGUCCUGUGGCUCCACUUAAACAGGUGGCCCUGCACAGCGGGAGGGCUGGGACCUGCUGGCCCUCCUCUCCAAAAUGCCUGGUCCCCAGGGCUCUCCUGAGGGGAAGGAGGCUCCACAGACUGCAGCUGGAAGCAGGAGGAGAUGUGGCAGAGGGCUGAUGCUAAUCCUUACGGUUGGAAAAGCCCUCCAAGACCAUCGAGUCCGACCUUUGACCGAUCACCACACUGUCAACCAGACAUCCCUGUCCCCGAGCUCCCCAAAGAGUGGAACCACAGACCGGGAAACCCCCGACCCUCCGAGGGAGAGCUCCGUACCCGUCACCCUCUGGGACCGCCGGGACUUUAAAACACGAAGGAGCAGCGAGGAAACCCAAUUUCCCCCUGCCGUUUUCAACUUUAACAGGAACCUUUUCCGCCGAGGAGCCGCCGCGGUGACCGUGACCCCUUCCCUCCCUCCCCCGCCCCUCCCGGGGGUCCCGUUCGCGGAGGGGUCGCGGGGCUCACCUUGAUGAUGAGCGGGUUUUCGAACAUGCUGAGCCGGAUCACGCCGAGCCGCUCGUUCUCGGUGCCCGGGCCCGCCUCGGCCAAGGUCAUGGGCGGCCGCCGCCGGCGCCCCGCCGUGCCCCCACCCAUGGCCGGGGGGCUCUCGGGGGUCCCUCUUCACUGGAGUCUCGGUGGUCCCGGGGAGCGUCUCUGCAGUCCCAGUCUCGGUCCCGGGGGGUCGGUCCCGGUCGCGGG
Molecule: long non-coding RNA, 1394 nt
Organism: Myiozetetes cayanensis
Lineage: Eukaryota; Metazoa; Chordata; Aves; Passeriformes; Tyrannidae
Exons: 4
Source: RefSeq, a predicted model, not a curated record